GACGAACGCUGGCGGCGUGCCUAACACAUGCAAGUCGAGCGGAGAUGUACUGAAGAUUUAUCGGAUGUACAUCUUAGCGGCGGACGGGUGAGUAACGCGUGGGCAACCUGCCUUUCACUGGGGGAUAACACAGGGAAACCUGUGCUAAUACCGCAUGACAUCACGUAGGGCAUCCUAUGUGAUCAAAGGAGAGAUCCGGUGGAAGAUGGGCCCGCGUCCAAUUAGCUGGUUGGUGAGGUAAAGGCUCACCAAGGCGACGAUUGGUAGCCGAACUGAGAGGUUGAUCGGCCACAUUGGGACUGAGACACGGCCCAGACUCCUACGGGAGGCAGCAGUGGGGAAUAUUGCACAAUGGGGGAAACCCUGAUGCAGCGACGCCGCGUGCGGGAUGACGGCCUCGGUGUAACGCUUCUAGCAGGACGAAACAGACGGUACCUGCAGAAGAAGACGCCGGCUAACUACGUGCCAGCAGCCGCGGUAACA
This 483-nucleotide ribosomal RNA is filed under the name uncultured bacterium. RNAcentral's name for it is "bacterial SSU rRNA". It matches the Rfam family "Bacterial small subunit ribosomal RNA", at positions 28 to 525 of the family's 1533-position model. The record is from RNAcentral.